This 327-nucleotide ribosomal RNA is filed under the name Scenedesmus quadricauda. Its description in RNAcentral is "bacterial SSU rRNA". It matches the Rfam family "Eukaryotic small subunit ribosomal RNA", at positions 1515 to 1831 of the family's 1831-position model. The record is from RNAcentral. Lineage: Eukaryota; Viridiplantae; Chlorophyta; Chlorophyceae; Sphaeropleales; Scenedesmaceae.
GGAAGUUAAGGUUUUCACAGGUAUCCUUAGCCGAAGGCUCGGGUAAUCUUUGAAACUGCAUCGUGAUGGGGAUAGAUUAUUGCAAUUAUUAGUCUUCAACGAGGAAUGCCUAGUAAGCGCAAUUCAUCAGAUUGCGUUGAUUACGUCCCUGCCCUUUGUACACACCGCCCGUCGCUCCUACCGAUUGGGUGUGCUGGUGAAGUGUUCGGAUUGGCAAUUAUCGGUGGCAACACCGUCGAUUGCCGAGAAGUUCAUUAAACCCUCCCACCUAGAGGAAGGAGAAGUCGUAACAAGGUUUCCGUAGGUGAACCUGCGGAAGGAUCAUUG